AGUAACACGUGGGUAACCUGCCCAUCAGAAGGGGAUAACACUUGGAAACAGGUGCUAAUACCGUAUAACAAUCAAAACCGCAUGGUUUUGAUUUGAAAGGCGCUUUCGGGUGUCGCUGAUGGAUGGACCCGCGGUGCAUUAGCUAGUUGGUGAGGUAACGGCUCACCAAGGCCACGAUGCAUAGCCGACCUGAGAGGGUGAUCGGCCACAUUGGGACUGAGACACGGCCCAAACUCCUACGGGAGGCAGCAGUAGGGAAUCUUCGGCAAUGGACGAAAGUCUGACCGAGCAACGCCGCGUGAGUGAAGAAGG
This 312-nucleotide ribosomal RNA is filed under the name Enterococcus faecium. RNAcentral's name for it is "bacterial SSU rRNA". It matches the Rfam family "Bacterial small subunit ribosomal RNA", at positions 109 to 414 of the family's 1533-position model. Lineage: Bacteria; Bacillati; Bacillota; Bacilli; Lactobacillales; Enterococcaceae. The record is from RNAcentral.